UGGGGAAUAUUGCACAAUGGGCGAAAGCCUGAUGCAGCGACGCCGCGUGGAGGAUGAAGGCUUUCGGGUCGUAAACUCCUGUCUGGGGGGAUGAAUUUUUGACAGUACCCCCGGAGGAAGCCCCGGCUAACUACGUGCCAGCAGCCGCGGUAAUACGUAGGGGGCGAGCGUUGUCCGGAAUUACUGGGCGUAAAGCGCGCGCAGGUGGCUUGUUAAGUCAGGUGUCAAAAUGCGGAGCUCAACUCCGCAGCGCACUUGAAACUGGCAGGCUUGAGUGCAGGAGAGGAAAGUGGAAUUCCUAGUGUAGCGGUGAAAUGCGUAGAUAUUAGGAGGAACACCAGUGGCGAAGGCGACUUUCUGGACUGCAACUGACACUGAGGCGCGAAAGCUAGGGGAGCAAACAGG
This 405-nucleotide ribosomal RNA is filed under the name uncultured prokaryote. Its description in RNAcentral is "bacterial SSU rRNA". It matches the Rfam family "Bacterial small subunit ribosomal RNA", at positions 355 to 776 of the family's 1533-position model. The record is from RNAcentral. RNAcentral also lists the same sequence under 1 other name.